This is a long non-coding RNA of Cicer arietinum (chickpea), 4388 nucleotides long. RefSeq lists it as uncharacterized. The record is from RefSeq and is a predicted model, not a curated record. Lineage: Eukaryota; Viridiplantae; Streptophyta; Magnoliopsida; Fabales; Fabaceae.
UAGGUAUAUUGAUGAGUACGGUGGCUCUUCAGAUGAAGUUACCGAUGUUGAAUGUAGCUGUCACUAUUUCGAGGUGGAUCCAAAGUUUUUGAAGGGUGCAUUGAAAAGGUCACAGUACUAAUUUUCUCAGUGCUUUGUUUCACCUCUUGUUAAAGAGGAAACUUUAUAACAGGAACUAAUUGCACUUGAUCAAGAAUUUGAAUUAGACAAAGAUUUUCCUGAUCAGCGUCUUCAACAUUUGCGGUGCCAUACUUCGAAACUCAAUCAUCCUUAUACUAAAUUUGGGAACAAAAAUAGUCUGGCAGAAAUGGAUGACUAUACUCAUAUCCCCAAGAAAGUUUUGGAAUUUCACGAAAAAUACUAUUACAGAGCUAAAAUGAAAUUUAUUAUUAUUGGGCAAGUAAUAAUGCUUUACCAUUCUUGUGGGUGGGCUACUACUUGAAGAAUCUAGAAUAUAUCGAACAUCUAUAGCUUACGUCUUUGUCAUUUCCAUACACCUUACUGAGCUGGAUCUACAAAAGGUCAGCUUGAUUAUUGGAUUUGUCUAUCAAUACUUUAUGUUGUUGUGCAAAAUUUCUCCACCAAAAUUGAUAUUUGAGAAGAAGUGUAUUGGAAAAAUGGAAUUCAUAUUUGGAGAUGGGAAGUCUCAUCGUGAUUACGCUGCUAAGCUGUCAGAGAAGAUUUGCUCUUGUAUUCGCGGGAGCAUGUCAUUUGUGCCGACUAUGCGUACAAGAGAUGGAAUAAGCAGUUGAUAAGACAAAAUUAGUCAAUUAUGGAAAGAUGAGAGUAGAGCUCCAAAAUUUGAUAAUUUCGAAUAAAUUUCAAAGCAUGGGAUAGUGUAGAGAAGGUGAAUUGUCUAAAUUCUUCAUUCAUCUCCUUAAAGAUCAAUUGUCUGAAGCAUGUACCAGGUGAACUAUCUAUUUUAUUUAUUAGAAACGAGUGAGGACGGAAGAUAAAAGAUUCUCUGCGAUAAAUAGCAUGUGAACAAAAGAAAAAAUGUCUCUAUGUAUAAUUUUAUUGUGAAGUGUAGAUAAUUUAAACUUGUGUUAUCUUUGACUUUGUGAUGAAAUUAUUAGUAAAAUAUUUGAAAAUUAAAAUAGUAUUUUAAUAUUUAUGAAACAAAUCUUGAAUAAACCAUUAAAACUAAACAAUAGAAAACAAUAUCUGUUGGCGGGGUUUCGGAACACCACUAUAUUUUAAGUUGAUACUAAAUGUUUUUGUUAAUAAAUUUGCGAAAAUUAUAAUCAUGCUUCCAUAGUUAUUUGUACCCCUAUUUUGAUGUUCUACUCAAAACACUCAUUUUACAUGUUUAAAACCAAAAUAACCGGCAAUCUUCGUGGAUGAUUUACAUAACACAUUUAAAAAAAAUUAUGAUUGUACUUGAAAACUCAAUUUAAGCUCAAAAUGAAAAUGUGUUUAGGACAAAUUUAAAUUGAGUUUUCUAGAACACAUAAUACAUUUGUGUUUCGAAAAACUGAAAUUUGAGUUUACUAGAACAUAUUUGAACAUCGUAGGACAAAAGAAUUUUCUAAUUUAAAAAAAGAAUAAAGUCAAGAGCAAAUAUUUGAUUUUUUAGAGGAUUUAUGGGAUAGGGGUAAACUUUUGUAAAUCUGAUUGCAUAGUUAUUAUGUUUUUUUUUCUUUUCAGUUUAGUCUUGUUUAGGUAGUUAUUUUUAGUCUCAUGAUGUGAUUUCCUCUACGAAAACAGGAAUACUUUACAAUUUUUUGCAUCACAUAAAUUAUAAUUUCAUAGGUUAAUUGUAUCAUUAGUAAUACGGCCUUUGAUACUCCCAACAAUUGUUGUGUUGUUUCCACUAAUGGUUAACAUGAGUCGUGAGGGACCAAAGGCUGACCCAAUAUUCUUGAUGGACCAAAUAAAAAAUAUAUCAUGUUUUUGUGGACUCAAAUCAUAUUUAAGCUACGUUAUUAAGAAUUGUAAUUAAAAGUAGUUAGUGGAGGGUGUGAAACAACAUACGAGAGUGUUAAUGGUCCCACCCAUCUAUAUGUGCAUAUAUGAAUUUGUCUUAUGUGUGCAUAGUCGAAUUGUCAAGUUUGAUACCUCAAUUUCGUUUGUCAAUGGUACGCUUCAGCUGAUGCUCUCGGGUCUCAAUGACAAAUUUCCUCUUCUCUUAUCUAAAAUUUUGUUAGAAAUUAGUUGUUUCAUGCUGAUGAUUGAUGUAGGUGAGUGGCAUGUUUGUGUCAAUUUUUAUGGGAUGUUAAUGUUUUUGUUUUGCCUCACUUCAAUAUAUCUUUGUUUUAAUUCUGUUUUAUUUUGACCGAUCCUUAUUGAACGGCUUAUGAGAAAAUACAUGAACAUAAAUUAUUUGAUGAACCACGCUAGUAUAUAUUUUUAAAUCCUCUUGUGAGCACAAUUAUCAUAUAGAUGAAAAACAACUUUAUGUAAGUGACGAUUUGUUGCAUGAUGAUCUAAAAAAAAUUUAUCAGGACCUUCGCUCCCAAAAUUAAAUAAAAUGUUUAAUAUUUAUUUUGCUUAGCACCUUACUUUGAUUUCCAAGUCUGCAAAUAGUUUCUAAUUUGACAUACUGUCUGUUUCGGUGCAUAUGAAAGGGCACGUCUAUAAUGCUAAUUGCUAACAAUAUGAAGAAAAUUAACAGAUUAAUAUUGUCAUAUUUAUUGUUUUUCAAUCUAUUAAUGUUAGAAUAAGUCACAUGAAAUAAUCAUUAGCUAUACAAAUCCUAGAUUAUUAGAAUUAGCAAUCACAUUAAAUUGUAUUUAUUUUAAAAUCACAGCUGUUUGUGACAUAUGGUAGACUAAAAAAUUAUAAUUUUUUUUUGUUAAAGUAGUCUUAUGUUCUUUUGUUCUUUACUUUUUCACGAGCAAGUUCUCCUUCCCUAGAUGCCCUUUGCAGCAGUACAUCCUGCUUACUUUCCAGCGAGACAAUCGCUAAUCUCCUUCGAAAUGGAAUUAAAACAAGAAUAUAAAAUAGAUACCCGAGCUAGAUAGUAGAUACAUUAGCUCAACCUUAUACACCGAAGUAUCUAGUUAAUUAUUUGUUACCGCAAUUUCUAUACCAUGAAUGAUAUUUGAUAUAUAGUGGAAUGUAAGAGAGUGCGGUGGUUUGAAAUGUAGAAAUAAGUUUUGGGUGAUGCAAGUUAAAUUAGAGAUCAUGUGUAACCUGUUUUGUCUAUUAGCAUUCAAAAUUUGAAGUAGAGAUCCAUCAAAACUUGUCCUUUCAAAAAAGAAAAUGAAAAAAAUUAUUUCGUUUUCAUUUUUACUUACCUCAUCAUGUUCACAUUAUUGGUAUAAAUACAAAACUAUGUGAUCUUUUAUACUCACGAAAAGAUAAAUUCUAUAUUUUUUGAUUUGUAAAUAUAUUUUCCAUGAUGGACAUGAAUAAGUCAAUAGAUCUAUUGUUAUGUAUUUGGAGUUUAUAUUCAUUUGAAUUUUAAGUUUGUACAGUUAUAUAUUGGAUAUGCAUGUCGUGGAUAUAAGACGAUUAAGAAAUCCACUUCCUGUUUGCCUCCUUUUCGAUAUCAACUUAGUUAUGGAUUUGUAAGCUUCGCAAGUUUCAAAUAAAAUUUGUGGGUGAGGUGAUUUUAGUUGGAUUGAUUGUUAUUUUAUUUUUAUCCUACCAAUCAAUGUGUCCAUCAAUCAUUAAUGUGUUGCUUUAGACGAUUUUAUCUUUAAUAAUUUCUAAUAAUUUUUUUUGGAAUAUUUGUUUUAUUUUUCGAUCUAUCCAGUGUAAUUUUCAAAUUGAACAAUACAUUAGAUUGGUAUCAACCAAACUCAUAGUUUUGUGUGAUGUUUUUGGUGCUAUUAUUGAAGAGCUAUUAUUUACUUAAUAAUUGAGGUGACGAUAUGAUCUUAGAUGUGUUUUUUGUUAACAUAUUGUAUUUGUUAUCGAAGAUAGAUUCUCUUUUCAUAUGUUUUUUUCGUGGUAAUUGAGAAUAAAAUAUCUCUUAAAAUAAUAUUAUUUGUUAAUUCUUACAUGAAAACAUAUUAUUUGUUAAUUCUUACAUGUCGUCUUCACUGUGCACAUAUGAGAUGUACAUUUAUUAUCUGAGUGAGUCACACGAGGUUUCCCUAAAAACAAUGUUUCAGAUUCUAUAGCUGCAACUUUUUCUUUUGUUUAUGUUGUUUCUUCUUAUUAGACUUUUAACUAUUGCCUUCCUUCUUUUUUUGUUCAUUUGGCUGAAAUUCUUGAUAUGCAUGUGGAAACAGGACAACAGAUCAUAUUUGCCAUGAGGUUAGUUAUUUCUUAUUUACGUUGAACCAUGUUUUUGAGUUUUUGUGUCCAUGUUAAUUCAUCUAAAUACAACCCAAAUUACAUACAUGCAUGCAAGGUAGAAUUGAUAGUUUCACCGUAAGUUUUUUUUGUUAGUUUUCCUCGUACUCUCAACUUAUGUUAUAUAUUUAACGGUUAUCAUA